GACGAACGCUGGCGGCGUGCUUAACACGUGCAAGUCGAGCGGUAAGGCCCUUUCGGGGGUACACGAGCGGCGAACGGGUGAGUAACACGUGGGUGACCUGCCCUCAGCUCUGGGAUAAGCCUGGGAAACCGGGUCUAAUACUGGAUAUGACUCCAUGACGCAUGUUGUGGGGUGGAAAGCCUUGUGCGGCUGAGGAUGGGCCCGCGGCCUAUCAGCUUGUUGGUGGGGUGAUGGCCUACCAAGGCGACGACGGGUAGCCGGCCUGAGAGGGCGACCGGCCACACUGGGACUGAGACACGGCCCAGACUCCUACGGGAGGCAGCAGUGGGGAAUCUUGCGCAAUGGCGAAAGCCUGACGCAGCGACGCCGCGUGAGGGAUGACGGCCUGU
This 389-nucleotide ribosomal RNA is filed under the name uncultured bacterium. RNAcentral describes it as "bacterial SSU rRNA". It matches the Rfam family "Bacterial small subunit ribosomal RNA", at positions 28 to 419 of the family's 1533-position model. The record is from RNAcentral.